UAGGGAAUAUUGGACAAUGGGUGCAAGCCUGAUCCAGCCAUGCCGCGUGCAGGAAGAAGGCCUUCUGGGUUGUAAACUGCUUUUACCAGGGGAUAAAAGCCCAUGCGUGGGAAAUUGAAGGUACCUGGUGAAUAAGCCACGGCUAACUACGUGCCAGCAGCCGCGGUAAUACGUAGGUGGCAAGCGUUGUCCGGAUUUAUUGGGUUUAAAGGGUGCGUAGGUGGUCUAUUAAGUCAGUGCUGAAAUAUCCCGGCUUAACCGGGAGGGUGGCAUUGAUACUGAUGGACUUGAGUAAAGUUGAGGUAGGCGGAAUUGACGGUGUAGCGGUGAAAUGCUUAGAUAUCGUCAAGAACACCGAUAGCGAAGGCAGCUUACUAAGCUUUAACUGACGCUGAGGCACGAAAGUGUGGGGAUCAAACAGGAUUAGAUACCCUGGUAGUCCACACUGUAAACGUUGAUGACUCGAUGUUAGCGAUAUACAGUUAGCGUCUUAGAGAAAUCGUUAAGUCAUCC
RNAcentral lists this ribosomal RNA (513 nucleotides) under uncultured bacterium. Its description in RNAcentral is "bacterial SSU rRNA". It matches the Rfam family "Bacterial small subunit ribosomal RNA", at positions 355 to 870 of the family's 1533-position model. The record is from RNAcentral.